Molecule: long non-coding RNA, 271 nt
Organism: Hipposideros armiger (great roundleaf bat)
Lineage: Eukaryota; Metazoa; Chordata; Mammalia; Chiroptera; Hipposideridae
Exons: 3
Source: RefSeq, a predicted model, not a curated record
GUAAGCUUGGGUUUGGGAGCCAUUAUAGCUGUGGCUUUUUAGGAGUUAAUUCUGCUGUUUGAGAAUUACGUGUGCCUUCAUAGGAUGAAAAGGGUUAGUGGUUUCCUCCUGUAGCCUCAGUCGAAUAUGAAGCCCUAAAUUGGUAAGGAAGACUAUUGGGCUGAUGGGAAAUAUUUCUCAGUUUCUGGGAAAGGAAAAAUUGGUCAGAUGGUGUGAAAUUCAACCUUGGGACUCCUGUCUCUGGUAAGUUAUGCCGUAACAAAAACAUUUG